This 2448-nucleotide ribosomal RNA is filed under the name Triticum aestivum (bread wheat). RNAcentral describes it as "partial small subunit ribosomal RNA". Lineage: Eukaryota; Viridiplantae; Streptophyta; Magnoliopsida; Poales; Poaceae. The record is from RNAcentral.
AUGUCGCUCCGGCUUCGGGAUUGCUCAGGUCCAACAGAGAGCACCGAGCGAGAAAAAAAAACGAUCCCCUUUCUUCUCUUACCCACUUUCAUCAAGCACCUUCCCGCACCCAACCUCGGAUUCGUGGUGCGCGCCCGCGAGCGAUUCGACGCGCUACCGCCCCGGCGGACCCUGCUCGGCCGGAGCCGGACGUGCCUCACGUGGUUGUGUUAUAUAAACCUGCACUCUGAUGAUACGUGUGGUGACCACAGAGACAGCAAAAUUGGCUUUCUGAAAACAAAAGAUGAUAACCAAUCUGAUCUCGAGGGGCCGCAUAGAAAUGCUGGGCCGUGGCUGUGCUCCAUUUGCUCGCAGCAAAAUGAUACGAGUUGUAUGUCCUGUGAGGUAUGCGGCGUUCUUCGGGAUUUGUCGCUGUAUUUCAAUAACACCAAUGAACCUGAAGGUGGAGCUAAACGCAGAAACAAGCAUUCUGGUGUGUCUGUACUGGCAAGAUCUCUUUUCACACCAUCCAGUCCAAAAUCAAAAGCCAUUGUUUUCUCCGAUGGAUUUCGAGGCAACAAAAACGCAACAGGACAUAUGCAAGCUUCCUUGGGUACCCUCCACAAAACAUUCAUGACACAUAAGCAGCGCCAUAACAUAGUGCCUUUCAAGUUUGAUAUACCAUCUCCUGAUGACAUGGUCUCUAUAGGCUUAAAAUCGUCCAGACAUUUGCGAAAAGAUAUCCCCGGAAAGAUGGUGAUGGGUGAUGAUGAUCUUGUAGCUGAGAAGGAUACAAGUACAGACCCAAGUUCAUCAGUGAAGUUGGAUGAACUUGGUGGAAAUAGUAGCAGUGUUGCCGCCAAUACUCGGAACGAAACUCUUAUUUUGGACAAUGAGCUACAACAUUUGAGUUUAGAGAGGAAGCCAAAAAACAGUAAAGCCAAGAUUAAGAAGCCAGUUCCUGUUUCACAGUACAAGCCAGAACCGUGGAUGCUACAGGGAGAAGAUCAAGAAAUGCCUAGGCAACUAAAUCUUGCUAUUGUUGGUCACGUUGAUUCUGGCAAAUCAACAUUAUGUGGUCGGUUGCUGCAUGCCCUGGGUAGAAUUUCAAAAAAGCAAAUGCAUAAGAAUGAGAAAGAAGCGAAAGAAAAGGGAAAAGGGUCGUUUGCAUAUGCUUGGGCCAUGGAUGAGAGUGCUGACGAAAGGGCACGUGGUAUCACGAUGAAUGUCGGUGUAGCAUACUUUGACACCAAAAACUACCAAGUUGUUAUGCUCGACUCCCCUGGUCACAAAGAUUUCGUUCCUAACAUGAUAUCUGGAGUGACACAAGCUGAUGCAGCUGUCCUAGUUGUUGAUGCCUCUCUAGGAUCAUUUGAGUCGGGUAUGGGCGUUAAUGGGAUUGGACAGACAAAGGAGCACUCACAGCUUAUUCGAAGUUUCGGUGUUGAGAACUUGAUAGUUGCUGUUAAUAAGAUGGAUUCAGUGGAAUAUUCGGCGGAACGCUUCAAUUAUGUGAAAUCACAACUUGGCAUUUUUCUCCGAUCAUGUGGCUAUAAAGAGUCAGCGAUAACCUGGGUUCCUUUGAGUGCAAUGGAAAAUGAGAAUCUGGUGACAGCAGCUUCAGAUACUCGUCUCUCAUCAUGGUUUCAUGGGACUUGCCUUCUGGAAGCAAUUGACUCGUCAGCAGCACCUCACCGUGAUGUUUCAAAGCCACUACGGCUUCCAAUUUGUGAUGUUAUUUCAUCCCAUGUGCUGGGGCAAGUGGCGGUUUGCGGUAAAGUAGUGUGUGGAGCAAUCCGAAGCGAUUCCAAGGUUCUUGUGAUGCCUUCUGGAGAGCUAGCUACAGUGAAAAUCAUCGAGCGGGACUCCUCUCGUCUCAGCUCGGCAAGAGCCGGCGACAACAUUGCGAUUGGGCUGCAAGGGAUCGACCCUAUCCAUGUGAUGUCGGGUGGAGUCCUGUGCCAUCCAGAUUACCCCGUGUCGGUGGCGUCUUCCCUGGAGCUGAAGAUCCUGGUGCUAGACAUCACCGUACCCAUACUGCCGGGCCUUCAGUUUGAGCUCCACGCACACCACGCGAAGGUGUCGGCGUCCCUGGUGAGGAUCGUGUCGCUGCUGGACCAGAAGACCGGCAAGGCCUCGGCGAGGAAGCCGCGGAUGCUGACCGCAAGGCAGGCCGCCGUCGUCGAGGUGAGGCUGGAGAGGGAGGUGUGCGUGGAGGAGUUUGGAACACUCAAGGCCCUCGGCCGCGCGUUCCUGCGGUCGCAGGGGAGCACCGUGGCGGUCGGCGUCGUGACCCGCGUCGUGCAGGUCGACAUGUCCACGUUGCGAGCUCCACCUACCGUCCCGUCCGGCCGUCCCCGUCCGUCGAGGUCGUCGUUGAUUUGCUUGCCCAUGUCAGCACGUCCGCCGAUCGAGCUGCUUCAACUCAAACUCUCGAGUUAUAGAUACACUAGCCUGCGGCGCGCAUAA